Long non-coding RNA from Suricata suricatta (meerkat), 694 nucleotides. RefSeq lists it as uncharacterized. NCBI's taxonomy places the organism in Eukaryota, Metazoa, Chordata, Mammalia, Carnivora, Herpestidae. The record is from RefSeq and is a predicted model, not a curated record. The transcript has 2 exons.
CCAGGCAGCGCGCGGGCACCCAGGGCGUGGGGGUUCCUCCUCACUCCUCAGAUUGCAUCUCCGUGCGCCAGGAGGAGUGGCGGCGGUUCCUGUCUGCUGGGACAGCGCUGUAGGAGGCCAGAGAGCCCAGUCGUCUGGGGAGCCCAGACCCCUCUGGCCCAGGGGGCUCCAGGGGGACCAGAGCAGCUGCAAGGAUGAGAGAAGUUGGGAACGGAAGAGAAGAACAGGAAAGGAGGUCCCUCCAGCUCAGAAAGAUGAACCUUCUAGGAAGCAGGGGUGUGCAGAGCCGAUGAACAGUGCCCAGCACUUCCCAAGUCCCCAGACUGGAUGCUGACGCUCUCGGGGUCCUGGCGCCUGGCCUGGGCCCUUCUCUCCUCCUCUCCAUCUCUCCUUCGUGAUCUGGGCCUGGCCCGUGCCCGUGACACCGCCAGUGUGCUCAUGACUCCCAAAUCCAUGUCUGCAGCCCUGGCUCUUCCCCUGGACUCCAGACUUCCAGGUUCAAGCACCCCUUCAACCUCUCCUCCCAAGCCUUCCCCACCUCAUGGAGCGGCACCCCCAAUGCCCAGUAGCUAAAGCCCCAAACCUGGGAUGCCUCCGUUUCCCUCAUCUCCCAUGUCCAGUCCAUCGGGAACUCGUGUCAGUUCUACAUCAUAAAUAAACCCAGAUUUGGGGUGCCCGGCGGGCUCACUCAGAA